RNAcentral lists this transfer RNA (77 nucleotides) under Acrocarpospora pleiomorpha. Its description in RNAcentral is "tRNA-Glu". Lineage: Bacteria; Bacillati; Actinomycetota; Actinomycetes; Streptosporangiales; Streptosporangiaceae. The record is from RNAcentral.
GCGUCCGUCGUCUAGCGGCCUAGGACUCCGCAUCCCUCGGGAGCGGCUAUCGCCAGUUCGAAUCUGGCCGGAUGCGC